UAAACAAAUCAAAUUCAGGGUAUUUUUGACUUUUAACAACAUUAAGCAACGUGUCGUUAACGUGAACCACCAGCACAUCCAUCGGAUUCACGUCGCCUCACAAUCUCAGUUUCUCACUUCAAAACCAGUGUUAACCCUUUCUCUCUCCAAAAAAAUGGCAUCUUCUCUGGUACUAACUGCUCCAUCAUCGACGCCCCUAUCAACUUCUCCACCGUUUAUCAAAUACCGCGUCGUUUCCUCUCGGCCUUUCGAUUUUGAUUUUGAUCGGACAGUUAAAAAAGGUGCCGAGGUGGCAAAAAUUCAACAGAUAAACAUGACGGCGCGGCGACGGCGAUGGGGAAGAAGCUAAUCUCCAUUCAUAAGUCAUGAAAUUUUGUGACGAAAAUUAUUUAAUCUAAUAAUCCAGUACGGUGAUUUCCACUUGAAGAAUGCUGUUGGUGCGUUUUUCAUGGAGAUAAAUUGAAAUUUGUAAAUGAAAGGACUAAGUAGGGCUUCCGAGAAUCCUAUUUGUGUACUUACUGUUUUCAAAAAAUGGAGAGUACUGCGAAGCAGAGGAAUUUGGUUACUGUAUAAGGAAAGAGUCUUGGCCGUUGAGUAAACUCCCGAAGGACGCUGCCGUCGGUGACCAGAAGUCACGGGUACAGGCCAUUGUGAAGGAACGGAAGGAGAUGUACGCGAGUGGGAAGACGAAGGAGUACGCGUGGAGAGUGUCACAGUUGAAAGCUCUGUUUAAGAUUGUUGAGUUUUGCGUGAAGGAGCGUCGCGAGCAUCUGACAUGUCUAAGAGUGAACUUGAUUCCUUUGUUCCAGAGGUUUAUCACUCUUCUACUUUCGAUCAUCUAUGCUUUCGUUACGUGUAAAUUAUGUACACAUAAUUUCGGGGAUAACAAGGAAGAAUGAAUUGCAUAAUUGAUUAUAUGCAUCUAUAAUUUUUAGAUAGAUAUUUAUAUUAUCAGUUUGGUUCAGUUAUUUCGGGAAUCAUUGAAUAUUGUAUACUAUGAAGAGAAGCAACAGAUUACAAAGCUUUAGUACUAUUAAUGUGUCUGCAAAUCAGGGUCUUCCUAUUGGAGGAAUUAUUCAGCUCAAUAUAUUACAAUUGAUGUCCCUGAAUAAUGAAAAUGCAUGAAUUAGUAGCAUCUCAUUAAGAUAAUGAACGAGAGAGCACGCACAUUUAAAUAUAAGUGCAUCCACAGUUACACUUCCAUUCCAAAUAAUCUGUACUUCCCAUGGAAACUGAUUAGUUAUUUUUUUGGAAGUGUUGGUGGCAAUGGACAGAAGAAAUGGAUGGCGUGAAAGAAGAGGUAGGUAAGAGAAGUUAUAUAGUGAGUAAAGGUGCCAUAUAAAUUGUGUACAAAGAUGUACGACAGAUGCAUGACGGAGCUGAAUUAUUUUACUUGCUCGAGCUUAUCCAUGACCAUUUGAAGAUGCAACUCCUCCACAAAUAGAGUCCACAACUUUAAGUGUGCUGAUGAAUUAGUGUUGUAUGGAUAUAUUUAGAGUAUGAGCAGAGUUCGACAUGUUAAAUGCAUAGACUCUGAAUUUUUUUUUUUUUUUGGAUCUGUACAAUAAUUUGAAAUUAUUUAUUGGGUCCGUAUAAUGUUGCUUUCUAUGUUUUAUUUA
Long non-coding RNA from Lycium ferocissimum, 1619 nucleotides. RefSeq lists it as uncharacterized. The record is from RefSeq and is a predicted model, not a curated record. NCBI's taxonomy places the organism in Eukaryota, Viridiplantae, Streptophyta, Magnoliopsida, Solanales, Solanaceae. The transcript has 3 exons.